UGCAUUUUACCCAGAGCCUGUUUGCUAUGC
RNAcentral lists this non-coding RNA (30 nucleotides) under Rattus norvegicus (Norway rat). The record is from RNAcentral. Lineage: Eukaryota; Metazoa; Chordata; Mammalia; Rodentia; Muridae.